This 165-nucleotide ribosomal RNA is filed under the name uncultured bacterium. Its description in RNAcentral is "partial 16S rRNA". It matches the Rfam family "Bacterial small subunit ribosomal RNA", at positions 355 to 511 of the family's 1533-position model. The record is from RNAcentral.
CAGGGAAUCUUCGGCAAUGGGGGCAACCCUGACCGAGCAACGCCGCGUGAGUGAAGAAGGUUUUCGGAUCGUAAAGCUCUGUUGUAAGAGAAGAACGUGUGUGAGAGUGGAAAGUUCACACAGUGACGGUAACUUACCAGAAAGGGACGGCUAACUACGUGCCAG